RNAcentral lists this ribosomal RNA (397 nucleotides) under uncultured bacterium. RNAcentral's name for it is "bacterial SSU rRNA". It matches the Rfam family "Bacterial small subunit ribosomal RNA", at positions 28 to 417 of the family's 1533-position model. The record is from RNAcentral.
GACGAACGCUGGCGGCGUGCCUAAUACAUGCAAGUCGAGCGAACAUUUGAGAGCUUGCUCUCAAAUGUUAGCGGCGGACGGGUGAGUAACACGUGGGCAACCUGCCUAUAAGACUGGGAUAACUUCGGGAAACCGGAGCUAAUACCGGAUAAUUCACAUCUACUCAUGUAGAUGUGCUGAAAGAUGGCUUACGCUGUCACUUAUAGAGGGCCCGCGGCGCAUUAGCUAGUUGGUGAGGUAACGGCUCACCAAGGCCACGAUGCGUAGCCGACCUGAGAGGGUGAUCGGCCACACUGGGACUGAGACACGGCCCAGACUCCUACGGGAGGCAGCAGUGGGAAUCUUGCGCAAUGGGCGAAAGCCUGACGCAGCGACGCCGCGUGAGGGAUGACGGCCU